AUGCUUGUUUUGGCAGCACAUAUACUAAAAUUGGAAGUAUACAGAGAAGAUUAGCAUGGUCCCUCUGCAAGGAUGACACACAAAUCGUGAAGUGUUCCAUUAAAAA
This is a small nuclear RNA of Nyctereutes procyonoides (raccoon dog), 106 nucleotides long. NCBI's taxonomy places the organism in Eukaryota, Metazoa, Chordata, Mammalia, Carnivora, Canidae. The record is from RefSeq and is a predicted model, not a curated record.